Molecule: ribosomal RNA, 1263 nt
Filed under: Staphylococcus aureus
Lineage: Bacteria; Bacillati; Bacillota; Bacilli; Caryophanales; Staphylococcaceae
Description: bacterial SSU rRNA
Rfam family: Bacterial small subunit ribosomal RNA
Source: RNAcentral
UUUAUGGAGAGUUUGAUCCUGGCUCAGGAUGAACGCUGGCGGCGUGCCUAAUACAUGCAAGUCGAGCGAACGGACGAGAAGCUUGCUUCUCUGAUGUUAGCGGCGGACGGGUGAGUAACACGUGGAUAACCUACCUAUAAGACUGGGAUAACUUCGGGAAACCGGAGCUAAUACCGGAUAAUAUUUUGAACCGCAUGGUUCAAAAGUGAAAGACGGUCUUGCUGUCACUUAUAGAUGGAUCCGCGCUGCAUUAGCUAGUUGGUAAGGUAACGGCUUACCAAGGCAACGAUGCAUAGCCGACCUGAGAGGGUGAUCGGCCACACUGGAACUGAGACACGGUCCAGACUCCUACGGGAGGCAGCAGUAGGGAAUCUUCCGCAAUGGGCGAAAGCCUGACGGAGCAACGCCGCGUGAGUGAUGAAGGUCUUCGGAUCGUAAAACUCUGUUAUUAGGGAAGAACAUAUGUGUAAGUAACUGUGCACAUCUUGACGGUACCUAAUCAGAAAGCCACGGCUAACUACGUGCCAGCAGCCGCGGUAAUACGUAGGUGGCAAGCGUUAUCCGGAAUUAUUGGGCGUAAAGCGCGCGUAGGCGGUUUUUUAAGUCUGAUGUGAAAGCCCACGGCUCAACCGUGGAGGGUCAUUGGAAACUGGAAAACUUGAGUGCAGAAGAGGAAAGUGGAAUUCCAUGUGUAGCGGUGAAAUGCGCAGAGAUAUGGAGGAACACCAGUGGCGAAGGCGACUUUCUGGUCUGUAACUGACGCUGAUGUGCGAAAGCGUGGGGAUCAAACAGGAUUAGAUACCCUGGUAGUCCACGCCGUAAACGAUGAGUGCUAAGUGUUAGGGGGUUUCCGCCCCUUAGUGCUGCAGCUAACGCAUUAAGCACUCCGCCUGGGGAGUACGACCGCAAGGUUGAAACUCAAAGGAAUUGACGGGGACCCGCACAAGCGGUGGAGCAUGUGGUUUAAUUCGAAGCAACGCGAAGAACCUUACCAAAUCUUGACAUCCUUUGACAACUCUAGAGAUAGAGCCUUCCCCUUCGGGGGACAAAGUGACAGGUGGUGCAUGGUUGUCGUCAGCUCGUGUCGUGAGAUGUUGGGUUAAGUCCCGCAACGAGCGCAACCCUUAAGCUUAGUUGCCAUCAUUAAGUUGGGCACUCUAAGUUGACUGCCGGUGACAAACCGGAGGAAGGUGGGGAUGACGUCAAAUCAUCAUGCCCCUUAUGAUUUGGGCUACACACGUGCUACAAUGGACAAUACAAAGG